Molecule: ribosomal RNA, 460 nt
Filed under: uncultured bacterium
Lineage: Bacteria
Description: partial 16S ribosomal RNA
Rfam family: Bacterial small subunit ribosomal RNA
Source: RNAcentral
CCUACGGGUGGCAGCAGUGAGGAAUAUUGGUCAAUGGGCGCGAGCCUGAACCAGCCAAGUCGCGUGCGGGAUGACGGCCCUACGGGUUGUAAACCUCUUUUGCCGGGGAGCAACGGGCGCCACGUGUGGCGCCACUGAGAUUACCCGUAGAAAAAGCAUCGGCUAACUCCGUGCCAGCAGCCGCGGUAAUACGGAGGAUGCGAGCGUUAUCCGGAUUUAUUGGGUUUAAAGGGUGCGUAGGCGGACUGUUAAGUCAGCGGUAAAAGCCCGGGGCUAAACCCGGGCGGGCCGUUGAAACUGGCUGUCGUGAGAUGUCGAGAGGUAUGCGGAAUGCGCAGUGUAGCGGUGAAAUGCUUAGAUAUUGCGCAGAACUCCGAGUGCGAAGGCAGCAGACCGGCGGCGAUCUGACGCUGAGGCACGAAAGCGUGGGUAUCGAACAGGAGUAGAUACCCUGGUAGUC